UCGAGAAUAAUUCACAAUGGGGGCAACCCUGAUGGUGCAACGCCGCGUGGAGGAUGACGGUCUUCGGAUUGUAAACUCCUGUCAUCCGGGAGUAAGACCUGGCGGUUAACAGCCGACAGGGUUGAUAGUACCGGAAGAGGAAGGGACGGCUAACUUCGUGCCAGCAGCCGCGGUAAUACGAAGGUCCCGAGCGUUGUUCGGAAUCACUGGGCGUAAAGGGAGCGUAGGCUGCGCGGUAAGUCAGAUGUGAAAUCCCGGGGCUCAACCCCGGAACUGCAUCCGAUACUGCCGUGCUAGAGGAUUGGAGAGGUAGCUGGAAUUCUUGGUGUAGCAGUGAAAUGCGUGGAUAUCAAGAGGAACACUCGUGGCGAAAGCGAGCUACUGGACAACUCCUGACGCUGAGGCUCGAAGGCCAGGGUAGCGAAAG
Molecule: ribosomal RNA, 427 nt
Filed under: uncultured prokaryote
Description: bacterial SSU rRNA
Rfam family: Bacterial small subunit ribosomal RNA
Source: RNAcentral